RNAcentral lists this ribosomal RNA (629 nucleotides) under uncultured bacterium. RNAcentral describes it as "bacterial SSU rRNA". It matches the Rfam family "Bacterial small subunit ribosomal RNA", at positions 232 to 872 of the family's 1533-position model. The record is from RNAcentral.
CGCGGCCUAUCAGCUUGUUGGUGGGGUGAUGGCCUACCAAGGCGACGACGGGUAGCCGGCCUGAGAGGGCGACCGGCCACACUGGGACUGAGACACGGCCCAGACUCCUACGGGAGGCAGCAGUGGGGAAUCUUGCGCAAUGGGCGAAAGCCUGACGCAGCGACGCCGCGUGAGGGAUGACGGCCUUCGGGUUGUAAACCUCUUUCAGCCCUGACGAAGCGAAAGUGACGGUAGGGGCAGAAGAAGCACCGGCCAACUACGUGCCAGCAGCCGCGGUAAUACGUAGGGUGCAAGCGUUGUCCGGAAUUAUUGGGCGUAAAGAGCUCGUAGGUGGCCUGUCGCGUCGGCUGUGAAAACUCGGGGCUCAACUCCGAGCUUGCAGUCGAUACGGGCAGGCUAGAGUGCGGCAGGGGAGACUGGAAUUCCUGGUGUAGCGGUGAAAUGCGCAGAUAUCAGGAGGAACACCGGUGGCGAAGGCGGGUCUCUGGGCCGAUACUGACACUGAGGAGCGAAAGCGUGGGGAGCGAACAGGAUUAGAUACCCUGGUAGUCCACGCCGUAAACGGUGGGCGCUAGGUGUGGGUUCCUUCCACGGAAUCCGUGCCGUAGCUAACGCAUUAAGCGCCCCGC